Molecule: RNA transcript, 1128 nt
Organism: Drosophila willistoni
Lineage: Eukaryota; Metazoa; Arthropoda; Insecta; Diptera; Drosophilidae
Exons: 4
Source: RefSeq, a predicted model, not a curated record
UGAAAUGUGUUGUCGACAUUUCUCUAGUGGGCUUUAAUAAAGUUGUCUUUUUUUUUUGGUGAGCAGUUUGUAUUCUGUUUAAAAUGCUUUUCGAUACUUUUCUAUAUCGUUUCGAAUUACGCACUGGCUGCAUUAUCCUGGCAGUUUUGCAUUUGCUCUCAAGUCUUGGUGCUUUGGAAAAUGUCAUGCAUUUGACAGCAAUAUAUUUCGUUGUGGUUCUUACUGAAAGAGUAUGCGAAAUUGGUAUGAGCAUACUUUUGAUUUCUGCCGCCAUUAGAAGCAAUCGAUAUCUUUUAAAAAUUUGGAUGCUUUGCCUUUCGCCAGUUUAUCUAUUUAAUGUGUCUUAUGGAUGUUACGAAAGUCUAAUCAAAUAUGAUACACUUUUAGGUUUUAUCCUACUUAUUGCAAUAUGGACUAGGACCAGGGACAGUUUUGGAUCAGAAGUUUAUUAAAUAAUUAAAGCCAAGCCCAAUCACUAAUUAUUGGUAUAAAACUUUCACAAAUUUAUGAAACAUAGCCACUGUAAUACGUGAACGCCCUCUUUUCCUCUAACAACAAAAACAACAAGAAUAGGUAACAUAUUUUCAUAGCAUUUGAAUAACAGUAGACACCCGCAAACCCCCUUCCUUCUAGCAUCUCACACACAAAACAAAACAAAUCCAAACGAUUGAGAUGGCAAAGAAAGUUCAACGGGAAUGCCGCCGAAGCCGCCGCCUCCACCGCCAACAUUCGUAAGCCAGAUAUGCUGCGGCCCAGGGGCUGACUUACGGCCAACAAGCGAUAUUGAAGACCAAGACGAUGAUGAAGAUGAAGGCAAAGACUUGUGGUCUGAAGGCACUUAGACUAUUGGACCUUGAAGAGACCACAGCAACAAAAACAACAAAAAGUAUAAAAAAAGAAGUAGUAGUAGAAACCAACAACUACAACAACAGCAAUAUCAGAGCCAACAACUUCCAGUGAUUCAUAGACGGCGGCAGACACAGAGUAUUUGAAUUGCAAAAGACCAAAAUCGGUUUGAUUUUGUUGUUGCUGGAUUUUUUUGUAUCAUUUUUUUCAUUUUUUGACAUUUACGGAUCAUAACAAUAUACGCAACCAUUUUUGGCUGGCCAAAAUGCCUCUAGGGUAUCA